ACGGAUCUCUUGGUUCUGGCAUCGAUGAAGAACGCAGCGAAAUGCGAUAAGUAAUGUGAAUUGCAGAAUUCAGUGAAUUAUCGAAUCUUUGAACGCACAUUGCGCCCGCCAGUAUUCUGGCGGGCAUGCCUGUCCGAGCGUCAUUU
Molecule: ribosomal RNA, 146 nt
Filed under: Trichoderma harzianum
Lineage: Eukaryota; Fungi; Ascomycota; Sordariomycetes; Hypocreales; Hypocreaceae
Description: 5.8S ribosomal RNA
Rfam family: 5.8S ribosomal RNA
About the family: 5.8S ribosomal RNA (5.8S rRNA) is a component of the large subunit of the eukaryotic ribosome. It is transcribed by RNA polymerase I as part of the 45S precursor that also contains 18S and 28S rRNA.
Source: RNAcentral